AAAGUCGUAACAAGGUUUCCGUAGGUGAACCUGCGGAAGGAUCAUUACAAAACACCUGGCCCUCUCGGGCCUGAAGGGAACGCCUUUGGCCGCCGGGGGGUUUUAAACCCCCUCCGACCGGCCGGGGCGAACCUUUUAAACCCCUUGUGAAAAACCUCCGUUGCUUCGGCAGCUCUCCCCCGCCUUUACCGGCCGGGGGAGGUCAGCCUGCCGACGGCACCCUUGGAAACUCUCGAUUGAAACGUAGUAAUAACAACGUCUGAGCGCGAAGUCUAAUGACUAUAAAACUUUCAACAACGGAUCUCUUGGUUCCC
RNAcentral lists this unclassified non-coding RNA (314 nucleotides) under Ascomycota sp. Its description in RNAcentral is "partial contains small subunit ribosomal RNA, internal transcribed spacer 1, and 5.8S ribosomal RNA". The stretch from base 1 to 47 matches the Rfam family "Eukaryotic small subunit ribosomal RNA", at positions 1785 to 1831 of the family's 1831-position model. The record is from RNAcentral. Lineage: Eukaryota; Fungi; Ascomycota.